AUUGAACGCUGGCGGCAGGCCUAACACAUGCAAGUCGAGCGGAUGAAGGGAGCUUGCUCCUGGAUUCAGCGGCGGACGGGUGAGUAAUGCCUAGGAAUCUGCCUGGUAGUGGGGGAUAACGUCCGGAAACGGGCGCUAAUACCGCAUACGUCCUGAGGGAGAAAGUGGGGGAUCUUCGGACCUCACGCUAUCAGAUGAGCCUAGGUCGGAUUAGCUAGUUGGUGGGGUAAAGGCCUACCAAGGCGACGAUCCGUAACUGGUCUGAGAGGAUGAUCAGUCACACUGGAACUGAGACACGGUCCAGACUCCUACGGGAGGCAGCAGUGGGGAAUAUUGGACAAUGGGCGAAAGCCUGAUCCAGCCAUGCCGCGUGUGUAAGAAGGUCUUCGGAUUGUAAAGCACUUUAAGUUGGGAGGAAGGGCAGUAAGUUAAUACCUUGCUGUUUUGACGUUACCAACAGAAUAAGCACCGGCUAACUUCGUG
RNAcentral lists this ribosomal RNA (483 nucleotides) under uncultured bacterium. RNAcentral's name for it is "partial 16S ribosomal RNA". It matches the Rfam family "Bacterial small subunit ribosomal RNA", at positions 30 to 507 of the family's 1533-position model. The record is from RNAcentral.